UCUGCCUGUAGCAAGGUCAAGAUAUUUAGCGUGAGCCAAGUGGUUUCUCAAGCAGUGGACAUGCACAGAUAGGCCGCUGGCCCACACCAUGGUCUAACAGCUGCAUGUCGUUCAGCCAAUGCUUCUGUGAAAACUUGCCCAGUUCUGCAGAGCAAGGCUCACCCUGCAAUUUCCCACUGAGUCAGGAGGUCAAAAUCGGUAUGUUUGGAAGACUUGUUCAAAAUAGAUGUCCUA
Long non-coding RNA from Dipodomys spectabilis (banner-tailed kangaroo rat), 234 nucleotides. RefSeq lists it as uncharacterized. The transcript has 3 exons. The record is from RefSeq and is a predicted model, not a curated record. Lineage: Eukaryota; Metazoa; Chordata; Mammalia; Rodentia; Heteromyidae.